GCCUACGACCAUAUCACCCUGAAUGCGCCCGAUCUCGUCUGAUCUCGGAAGCUAAGCAUGGUCGAGCCUGGUUAGUACUUGGAUGGGAGACUACCUGGGAAUACCAGGUGUUGUAGGCU
RNAcentral lists this ribosomal RNA (119 nucleotides) under Petromyzon marinus (sea lamprey). Lineage: Eukaryota; Metazoa; Chordata; Hyperoartia; Petromyzontiformes; Petromyzontidae. The record is from RNAcentral.